GUUGACUGCUAAGAUUUCCAAGUUUGAUGAAGCAAUAAUUAACAGUGCAUACCUUAAAAAAAAGCAAUUCAUACAAUCCCCUUGUGAAAUUGUGCCAUUUAUUCUGACCAAUAUUUCUGCAUAUUGUAAGAAGUCUGUCUCUGAUGCCAAUAUGUCUGCUGGCCACACAUUCCCUUGAUCUUAUCAUUAUCACAAUACAGUUGGUACAAUGGUAGAAUAGCGACCGGGAGUGAGAGAUUGGGAACCAUUCAAGUCAACAGACGUGCUAAUUCAAUCACAACAGGACGGCCAAUACACUAUGGCCUAAUUGAUAGGUGUUACAAGGACUGACUACAUCCGUCUUGGUAUGUAUAUUCAACACUACUGAUCAAAGCUUCGAAAACAAAUAAGAAGCAGCCUCUGGAAAGGUUCGUGGUUCAUUCUGACUCUGCUGAAUCCAAGGUGUCAUUCGUGCGCUUUGUCACUGCCGGUAUUGGAAAUAAACUUUGUACUUUUUCAUCACGUUCGAGAGACGUCCUUUUUUCCUUACAACUGGCGAGCCACCCAGCGAGGAAUUCCGAAAAAAAAAAAAAAAAAACCGGGGACACUAAGAAAUCCAGCAUAAAUAUGUGGGAGACCCUCUUGACAGUAAUACUACCGGUGAUGGCGAUGACACAAGAGUGCCCAGAGCAGCGGCCAGCACCUCUGUCUGGGAUAAUUGCAAGACCACACCAGGGCGCCCUGAUCAACAAUGUCCAAUGGGUCCAUAUUCCAGUCCUGGUGAACUUGACAGCAUGGUCUCCAGAUCUGGACGAGCACUGCAAAGGGGAGAGCGUGACCCAGAUGUACAAGGACCUCAUGACAACAGCAUUCCUGAAAUACCAUGACAUGGUGGCUGCCAACUUCCAGAGCGACAGCCCAACCCCCACACCUACCAGACGAAAACUGCUCGGGUUCCUGGAUGGUGUUCUAGGAGCUACGGGAACCGGGUUAGGUAUUUCAAAUUGGAUGGAUACCCUACAAAUGAAAAGGAAUGAACUAAAACUGAAGGAGUUGAUUGCCACUCAGGUCCUACAAACUGACGCUUUCUUACAAGAGGGCCUAAAGGAGGAACAGGACACAGUAGGAAAUAUACACACCAUUGCAUCUGCACUGUCAAUCCUUGCUGACAGGGCCAGGAAAGCAUUUAAAACCAUUCACAAAGAAGUGUAUUGUGCCCAGUUUUCCUCAGUUAAAUAUCAAGAGAUUUCACACAUACUCCAGGAGAUCCAGGCUGGCAGAGUGCCAAUAACUCUCUUCACAGAGGAGGUUGUUAUGAAAUGGUUUGGACUAAACAAAUGUUUCAACACAUCCUCGGACAAUUUCAAAGACUUCAUGACUAACCUUGACAAAUGCAAACUGCCGAUUCCAUAUAGUAAACUAAUCCAAAUGGCGAGGAUCACCUCCCAUCCUAUCCCGGCUGGAUUUUACAGCCCAUUCGAUUAUGGCCCUCUCAUGGAGGGUACCAAUUUGCCCUUCUCUCCAAAGGGAGGAAAACCAUCAAAACCAAGCAAUAAGAUUCCCCCCAUACAAAUCAUACGAUGGUGGAAUGAGACUGUGUUUAACAAUUUACAGGACAAAACAUGGGCAUGUUCUGCUGGAAACUCUCUCCCACAGUUUGGCUGUUUCAUGAGACAAAUGUAUGCCAUGCUAGUAACGGUUUCUAUCCCUGUCUUCCAACCUGAGCAGGUAAUGGACAGAAUUGUAAAGCUUGAGAGUAUUGGCAGUUUACAAGGAAAUGUGCUAAAGGAGAGAAAAGACAUUCCAAAUUUUAUAACCCAACUAAAAACAGGUGAAUGGAGGGCUGUAGACACACAGUGCUGUGAGAAAACCCCUUAUGGAUAUUUUUGUGAUUGUGAUGCUAUAGAUAAACAGCCCUUGUGUGGAAUGGCAGAAACCAACAGUAAAGUGUGCGAUGUAAGUCUGACACAUGUACAUAAUAACUUCACCAGAGUAAUCAUCAAGGAUAAAGAUGUUUGCAUAACUACAACACAUACACAUUUUUACCUGUCCAUCAAUGAUAGUCUUACAGGAUGCCAGAUAAAUACUACUUCAUUUUGCAUGACUCCCCCUACAGCUUGGUCCAUUGGGUCCUACCAUUUUCCAUAUGUAAAUACCACACGUCACAUUUUGUCUACUAGGCCGGAGGAUGAGUUAGGAUUUGUAGAAGAAAUCCCAGAAUUUGAUUUUGAACUACCCACGUUGGACAACAUGUUAAUGACUCUAAUGCAAAGAAAAGACAGUCAUAUCAUAAAAAUACAACAGGGGCUCCAGGGUAAGGAUGGUACUCUCAUCAGUCAAAUGCAUGAUGGAGAUGUAGACCUAGCCUACUCAAGUACAUUGUGGGAAUUGACAUUUAAAGCCGCCGUAUGCAUCUGUUUAAUACUGAUUUUGAUUCAAAGUGUUAUGAUUUGUUGUAUGUGUUCUGUCCUAAACCGACAAAGACUUAUAUUUUCAAAUGACAUUGUAAAGCAGUCCCCUUGGCUUGGGUAGUACCCAGUCUCAAAUAUCUCGGCCGCUGACUAUUUGUUAUAGUUCAUUAUUUAUCAGCAUGGCACCCAGGUUGUGGUGGUGAUAACAUCCACAGGGAAAGCAGAGGCAAUAGCAGGCAGCGCUCAGAGUAGGACCAGUGGAAUGAGGUGUUGCUCCAAUGACGGGUAAGGUUCUCCGCGUGAUAGGAGAGCAACCUAAGGCAGGACAGCACCGCCACUGAUGAAGACUAUGUGCAUGUGAUGCUUUAUUGCAAAUAAGCAUCAAACGGGGGACUGUAAGAAGUCUGUCUCUGAUGCCAAUAUGUCUGCUGGCCACACAUUCCCUUGAUCUUAUCAUUAUCACAAUACAGUUGGUACAAUGGUAGAAUAGCGACCGGGAGUGAGAGAUUGGGAACCAUUCAAGUCAACAGACGUGCUAAUUCAAUCACAACAGGACGGCCAAUACACUAUGGCCUAAUUGAUAGGUGUUACAAGGACUGACUACAUCCGUCUUGGUAUGUAUAUUCAACACUACUGAUCAAAGCUUCGAAAACAAAUAAGAAGCAGCCUCUGGAAAGGUUCGUGGUUCAUUCUGACUCUGCUGAAUCCAAGGUGUCAUUCGUGCGCUUUGUCACUGCCGGUAUUGGAAAUAAACUUUGUACUUUUUCAUCA
Anguilla rostrata (American eel) is the source of this 3161-nucleotide long non-coding RNA. RefSeq lists it as uncharacterized. The record is from RefSeq and is a predicted model, not a curated record. NCBI's taxonomy places the organism in Eukaryota, Metazoa, Chordata, Actinopteri, Anguilliformes, Anguillidae. The transcript is spliced from 2 exons.